GGGAAGCAGGAGUUAAGAGACGCAAUGCUUGUAUCUUGCUGACUGAUGGGCUGCUUCUCUCCCCUAUCAAGUCCGAUCAUAAAGACAUGCAGAACGCAUCACAAAUCACCAGCAACUUGAAGAGUGCUUCCACUGACCUCGGAGGCACCCGGGACUGCUGACGUGGGGGUCACGAGAAAGACUGCACUGUUGCCUGUUUAUUCCAGUAAGUGUUUACGCUGGGUGUUCUAUCUGGCAAAGAGCUCAAGGUUACGCUGUCAGUGCGAGAUCAUUAGCUUUGCAAUUUCUCCAAAAGCAUUUGCGUUAGCAAAUGUUCAUCCUGACUUCAGGGAACAUGUUUAUGUCCAGGUGUAAAUCCUGCUGCUGGGAGAACUCCUUGCUAAUUACACUGCUGCUGUUCUUUAUCUCCCUGUGCAUGAACUGGGCAGCAGAAAUUCAUCAAAAACCUUCUCUUCCUGAACGGGGUUAGCUGAAGCUCUUAGCUCGAAUGGCGGCGUCCCGAUGCACCUGCAUUUAUUCUUGUAUAGAGGAAAAGCAUGGAGGUCAUAUAAGUGGCCUCUCCUGGACACAGGUGAUAGCCCUUACAAACAAGGUGACAAAGUGGCCUCUCCUGGACACAGUUACGCGUGCCACCAGACCCAAGCUCAAGUACUUCCGUCAUGAACUGACAGCUGGAGGAGUGGACAGUGGCAACGGGCAGCACCUGGGUGAGCAGCUGUCCUUCUCCCUGCAGGGCUCUCCUGUACCAGCCGCUGGCUUGGCCUAUGGACAAAACUGCGAGCAAAAUCACUCUCAUCUCAUGCACAUCUGUACCUGCUGGAGACACACAUUCAUCAGCAAACACCGACAGGCUGGACCGACUGCCAACCAGCACCGCCUUGGCCUGCAGUGGAGAAGGAUGGUCCAAGAUCUCCCUGGGAAGCAUAGCCAGAGAUUAUGAGAAGGGGUUAAAGUAUAUGACAGGAGGGAGAGGAAGAGAGCUCUCAUCUAGUCAAGAAAUAUUCUCUGUCUCUCUAAUAAAAAAAUUUUACAAACUUUUAAUAUCCCUUAAGGUAAUCACAAACUCUAGGGUCCUAGAUUUUGACCAUGAUAAUUCACCUGCUUAGAACCACCCUUGGAGCAUGGAUAUCUAACAAGGUACUACCUGUGAUACUACCUGUGUGUCCCCACAUACCCAAGGCACGUACAUGUUCAACCAUUUAAAAUAUUUUAAAGGUAAAUUACCAAUACAGCAGGAAGGUCUGGCAGAGUCCUAGACACACUAAAUAGAACAUGCCCAUGGAGCUCAGGUGAAUGUGUUUAGCACAUAUUUUCAUGUUUAAAUCUACAUUUGGGCAUCACUGAUAAGAGCAUAGAUUGAGAUUAAGGACAAAAUGAAGAGGGCUGAGCAGUGGUUAUCUGGUUAGGGAUUUGUUUGCCUAAUUAUCCUGGUACAGAGCUAGGAUCUGUUCCCCACAAUAUUAAUCAUGCUGGCCAUGCUGACAUGUGUGUGUAUUACCUUAGGUAACCCUUGCAAAAACCCUGCGAAGUUAGUGCCAUCAUCAUCAUUACUAUCAUUAUCAUUAUUCCAUUAAUACAGAAGAGGAAACCAAAGGACAAGUAGGGCAAGCGACUUGUCUAAAGGACCAAGAACACAAUGCAGUGCCCGGGGUCUUCACUGCUGAAAUGAACAGGAGGAUGCUAUGGUGGGGAGUUUCACCAGGUCAGGGAAAUGCAUGGAUUUUAUUGUAUUGGAAAGCGGAAGUCCAGGUUUCUGUCUCCUCUCUCUCCCUCCCUCCCCGAAUACAUGCUGCUGAAAACACUCUGCUGCUUCCUGGGAGGGGAGGGGUACGUCUUCUCCCUCUCUCCCUCCCUCUCUCUUCGCUUCCUCUUUCUUUCCUUUCCUUCCUUCCUCAUCCCCUCCCUCCCUUCCUCCCUCUCCUUCUUUCAUCGUUGUUCUUUAUUUUUACUUUUGGACAGAUUCAAUGUGCUUUGUAGAUACAACUCUAAGAACAUAAAGAUACUCCCUCCCUUCCUCACUCCCUCCUUCCCCUUUCUCUCACUGUAAUAAGACAAUGACCAUUUAGACCCCUGCUCUGGUCAUUCUUAACAUGCCAGCUGGAGUCUCGGGACAAACCUGGCAAAUGGGGAGCCUUCUAAUGCUAAAGCAAUGUCAACCGAGACUUGGAGCAGGCUUUGACUUCAGGCAGUGUGGUGCACAAACAGUGGAAGCAUCCACAGGUGCAGAGGAAACAAGCAGACUGGCACAAAUAAAGCCUAUGACAAAUAAUGGGGAAUGCACAGAUGGUGGAAGCCAACAGCGUCACAAACUCUUUGGGAGCCACGACCUCACCUGAUGAACAAAAUAAGAUGUUAGAAACCGAUUAGAUGGAAACUGAUAUAUGCAAAUUCUCUGAUGCAGAGUUCACAAUAGCUGCUUUAUGGAAACUCAGUGAUCUGCAAGAAAUCACAGAAAAAUAAUUUAAUACUCUAAUAGAGAAACGUAAUUGAAAGUUAGAAGCAAUUUUAAAAUGUCAUACAAAGUCUUGAACUGGAAAGUAUGCUAAUAAAAAUUAAAAAUGUAACAGAUGGCAUCAAAAGCUGAACUGGUCCAACAGAAGAAGUCAGUGAGCUUCAAGAUGAGCUCUUUGAAAACAAGUCAGAGGAGAAAGAAAAGAAUCAGGAGGUAGAAGGAAAGUUUUUGGAAACUUGGGAAAUAGCACUAAAAGAGUAAAU
Molecule: non-coding RNA, 2715 nt
Organism: Oryctolagus cuniculus (rabbit)
Lineage: Eukaryota; Metazoa; Chordata; Mammalia; Lagomorpha; Leporidae
Source: RefSeq, a predicted model, not a curated record